GCGAACAAGGUCUCCGUUGGUGAACCAGCGGAGGGAUCAUUA
RNAcentral lists this ribosomal RNA (42 nucleotides) under Xylaria sp. Dgan L16. Its description in RNAcentral is "partial 18S ribosomal RNA". Lineage: Eukaryota; Fungi; Ascomycota; Sordariomycetes; Xylariales; Xylariaceae. The record is from RNAcentral.